Molecule: ribosomal RNA, 260 nt
Filed under: uncultured bacterium
Lineage: Bacteria
Description: partial 16S ribosomal RNA
Rfam family: Bacterial small subunit ribosomal RNA
Source: RNAcentral
UACAGAGGUCUCAAGCGUUUGUUCGGAUUCAUUGGGCGUAAAGGGUGCGUAGGUGGGUUGGUAAGUCAGUGGUGAAAUCUUCGAGCUUAACUCGGAAACUGCCAUUGAUACUAUCAAUCUUGAAUACUUUGGAGGUAAGCGGAAUAUGUCAUGUAGCGGUGAAAUGCUUAGAUAUGACAUAGAACACCAAUUGCGAAGGCAGCUUGCUUACACAGUUAUUGACACUUGAGGCACGAAAGCCGUGGGGGAAUCAAACAGGG